ACGAACGCUGGCGGCGCGCCUAAUGCAUGCAAGUCGAACGGUCCCUCCCGCAAGGGAGGGACAGUGGCGAACGGCUGAGUAACGCGUAAGCAACCUACCCCUGGGUGGGGAAUAACUCGCCGAAAGGCGGGAUAAUACCGCAUGUGCUAUCGUGCCACAAGGCACGACCGCAAAGGCCGCAAGGCCGCCCGGGGAUGGGCUUGCAUCCUAUCAGGUAGUUGGUGAGGUAACGGCCCACCAAGCCGAUGACGGGUAGCUGGUCUGAGAGGACGGCCAGCCAGAGGGGGACUGAGACACGGCCCCCACUCCUACGGGAGGCAGCAGCAGGGAAUCUUGCGCAAUGGGCGAAAGCCUGACGCAGCGACGCCGCGUGGGGGAAGAAGGCCUUCGGGUCGUAAACCCCUUUUCUGGGGGAAGAGUAAGGACGGUACCCCAGGAAUAAGCCUCGGCUAACUACGU
RNAcentral lists this ribosomal RNA (459 nucleotides) under uncultured bacterium. RNAcentral's name for it is "bacterial SSU rRNA". It matches the Rfam family "Bacterial small subunit ribosomal RNA", at positions 29 to 506 of the family's 1533-position model. The record is from RNAcentral.